This 879-nucleotide ribosomal RNA is filed under the name uncultured bacterium. RNAcentral's name for it is "bacterial SSU rRNA". It matches the Rfam family "Bacterial small subunit ribosomal RNA", at positions 28 to 896 of the family's 1533-position model. The record is from RNAcentral.
AACGAACGCUGGCGGCGUGCUUAACACAUGCAAGUCGAACGCGAAAGUUUUCUUCGGAAGACGAGUAGAGUGGCGCACGGGUGAGCAACGCGUAAGUUAUCUACCUCGGCAUCUGGAAUAACUCACCGAAAGGUGUGCUAAUACCGGAUACGUUGAGUAAUCAAGAAAGGUGGCCUCUGAAUAUGCUACUGUGCUGAGAUGAGCUUGCGUACCAUUAGCUAGUUGGUAGGGUAAUGGCCUACCAAGGCGACGAUGGUUAGCGGGUCUGAGAGGAUGAUCCGCCACACUGGAACUGGAACACGGACCAGACUCCUACGGGAGGCAGCAGUGAGGAAUAUUGCGCAAUGGGGGCGACCCUGACGCAGCGACGCCGCGUGGAUGAUGAAGGCCUUCGGGUCGUAAAAUCCUGUCAAGUGGAAAGAAGUGCAUGGUGGAUAAUACCCAUCAUGUUUGACGGUACCACUGAAGGAAGCACCGGCUAACUCCGUGCCAGCAGCCGCGGUAAUACGGAGGGUGCAAGCGUUGUUCGGAAUUACUGGGCGUAAAGCGCGCGUAGGCGGUUUUAUAAGUCAGAUGUGAGAGCCCAGGGCUCAACCCUGGACGUGCAUUUGAAACUGUGAGACUUGAGUAUUGGAGGGGGUGGUGGAAUUCCCGGUGUAGAGGUGAAAUUCGUAGAUAUCGGGAGGAAUACCAGUGGCGAAGGCGACCACCUGGCCAAACACUGACGCUGAGGUGCGAAAGCGUGGGGAGCAAACAGGAUUAGAUACCCUGGUAGUCCACGCCAUAAACGAUGUCAACUAGGUGUUGGGACGGUUAAUCGUCUCAUUGCCGCAGCUAACGCAUUAAGUUGACCGCCUGGGGAGUACGGUUGCAAGAUUA